RNAcentral lists this ribosomal RNA (468 nucleotides) under uncultured bacterium. RNAcentral describes it as "partial 16S ribosomal RNA". It matches the Rfam family "Bacterial small subunit ribosomal RNA", at positions 338 to 795 of the family's 1533-position model. The record is from RNAcentral.
CCUACGGGUGGCUGCAGUGGGGAAUCUUCCGCAAUGGGCGCAAGCCUGACGGAGCAACGCCGCGUGAAUGAAGAAGGUCUUCGGAUCGUAAAGUUCUGUUCUUAGGGAAGAAGUCUUAGGUUGUGAAUAAUGACUUAAGGUGACGGUACCUAUGGAGAAAGCUCCGGCUAACUACGUGCCAGCAGCCGCGGUAAUACGUAGGGAGCGAGCGUUAUCCGGAUUUAUUGGGUUUAAAGGGUGCGUAGGCUGUGAGGUAAGUCAGCGGUGAAAUGCCCCCGCUCAACGGGGUGAAGUGCCAUUGAUACUGCCGUGCUGGAAUGCGGAUGCCGUGGGAGGAAUGUGUGGUGUAGCGGUGAAAUGCAUAGAUAUCACACAGAACACCGAUUGCGAAGGCAGCUCACGUAUCCGCGAUUGACGCUGAUGCACGAAAGCGUGGGUAUCAAACAGGAUUAGAUACCCCUGGUAGUC